Molecule: long non-coding RNA, 640 nt
Organism: Beta vulgaris subsp. vulgaris (sugar beet)
Lineage: Eukaryota; Viridiplantae; Streptophyta; Magnoliopsida; Caryophyllales; Amaranthaceae
Exons: 6
Source: RefSeq, a predicted model, not a curated record
AUUUCUCACAAAAUAGCAAACAGAUGUAUAUGAGAGAAGGAAAGGAAGAGGAAGAGAGCGAAAGUUCGACCUCGCACCUCUUUAAACUUCCAGCGAAGUCGGCACACCAAGUGUUUGUGGAAAGCUCUAAGAAAGGAAAACUUGAAGUUAGAGGGUAAAAUAAGCUCAUGAAUCUAUAAAUCAUUUUGUAGGACAGAAACGGUGCUUUUGUAGCAAGAAAUUUCAGUGGAAUCCAAUCAAUGGAACAUGUGACAAACAAUGUUCGUUCGAUGAAGUUAUGACAGAUUUCAACUCUACAUUUCCUUUGUAUCUCCACUUCAGGAUAUGCACUGCUCUCGCUACUCUUAUUGAGAGGAAUUCUUCUGGUUUUUGGACACAAAAUCUGCAAUUCAGCUGGAAAACCAGGUGAAUGAUGAAGCAACUGGAGGAGAUCAAACGUAACGUCUCACUAUAUAUACUAUCGGCCAGAUUUAGCUAGCUAUAUUAUAGUGAUGCGGUACUUGGUGGUUAGAAGGAAAAUGAUUUAUAUGUACUUAUUAAAGUAUUUGUGGUACUAAAACAAAUAUUUAUAAGUUAGGUUUGAUUAAAUAUUUUCAUGUAUACUUUUAAUUUAAUUAUUUUGGAAAUUAUAAUAUAGAUA